This 253-nucleotide ribosomal RNA is filed under the name uncultured bacterium. RNAcentral's name for it is "partial 16S ribosomal RNA". It matches the Rfam family "Bacterial small subunit ribosomal RNA", at positions 524 to 776 of the family's 1533-position model. The record is from RNAcentral.
UACGAAGGGGGCUAGCGUUGUUCGGAAUUACUGGGCGUAAAGGGCGCGUAGGCGGCGUGUCAAGUCAGGCGUGAAAUCCCCAGGCUCAACCUGGGAACUGCGUCCGAUACUGGCAGGCUUGAAUCCGGGAGAGGGAUGUGGAAUUCCAGGUGUAGCGGUGAAAUGCGUAGAUAUCUGGAGGAACACCGGUGGCGAAGGCGGCAUCCUGGACCGGUAUUGACGCUGAGGCGCGAAAGCUAGGGGAGCAAACGGG